Molecule: ribosomal RNA, 376 nt
Filed under: uncultured bacterium
Lineage: Bacteria
Description: bacterial SSU rRNA
Rfam family: Bacterial small subunit ribosomal RNA
Source: RNAcentral
UACGAAUCGUCCAAACGUUGUUCGGAAUCACUGGGCUUAAAGGGCGCGUAGGCGGUGCGUUAAGUCGGUGGUGAAAUACUUCGGCUCAACCGGAGAAUUGCCGCUGAAACUGGCGUGCUUGAGGGAGGUAGAGGUGUGUGGAACUUCCGGUGGAGCGGUGAAAUGCGUUGAUAUCGGAAGGAACACCCGUGGCGAAAGCGACGCACUGGACCUCUUCUGACGCUGAGGCGCGAAAGCUAGGGUAGCGAACGGGAUUAGAUACCCCGGUAGUCCUAGCCGUAAACGAUGGGUACUAGAGAGUAGAUGCUCCGAUGCGUUUACUCUCGAAGCAAAAGUGGUAAGUACCCCGCCUGGGGAGUAUGGUCGCAAGGCUGAA